UGGAAGUAAAAAAUCGUAACAAGGUCUC
Molecule: ribosomal RNA, 28 nt
Filed under: Anthostomelloides krabiensis
Lineage: Eukaryota; Fungi; Ascomycota; Sordariomycetes; Xylariales
Description: partial 18S ribosomal RNA
Source: RNAcentral